UUCCAGUGGAUAGCUCAGUCAGUAGAGCAUGAGACUCUUAAUCUCAGGGUUGUAGGUUUUAGCCCCACAUUGGGGGAAA
Non-coding RNA from Podarcis lilfordi (Lilford's wall lizard), 79 nucleotides. The record is from the annotation of a GenBank genome assembly. Lineage: Eukaryota; Metazoa; Chordata; Lepidosauria; Squamata; Lacertidae.